This 253-nucleotide ribosomal RNA is filed under the name uncultured bacterium. RNAcentral's name for it is "partial 16S ribosomal RNA". It matches the Rfam family "Bacterial small subunit ribosomal RNA", at positions 524 to 776 of the family's 1533-position model. The record is from RNAcentral.
UACGUAGGGUGCGAGCAUUAAUCGGAAUUACUGGGCGUAAAGCGUGCGCAGGCGGUUUUGUAAGCCAGAUGUGAAAUCCCCGGGCUUAACCUGGGAACUGCGCUUGUAACUGAGAGGCUAGAGUGUGGCAGAGGGGGGUGGAAUUCCACGUGUAGCAGUGAAAUGCGUAGAUAUGUGGAGGAACACCGAUGGCGAAGGCAGCCCCCUGGGCUAACACUGACGCUCAUGCACGAAAGCGUGGGGAGCAAACAGG